UGUACGGCCACAGGCUUGUCCGGAGACGUCGGCGGGAGCCUCAGGAAGAGUUAUAUUUUCUGUUUAACAGCUUGCCCACCCUGGAAUCGGCUCAGCCGGCGGUAGGGUCCAGCGGAUGGAAGAGCACCGCACGUCGCGUGGUGUCGUGUGCGCUCCCGACGCCCCUUGAAAAUCCGGAGGACCGAAU
This 187-nucleotide non-coding RNA is filed under the name Solanum lycopersicum (tomato). RNAcentral's name for it is "Eukaryotic large subunit ribosomal RNA". It matches the Rfam family "Eukaryotic large subunit ribosomal RNA", at positions 1640 to 1826 of the family's 3401-position model. The record is from Rfam by way of RNAcentral. Lineage: Eukaryota; Viridiplantae; Streptophyta; Magnoliopsida; Solanales; Solanaceae.